GAUGAACGCUGGCGGCGUGCCUAAUACAUGCAAGUCGAGCGAACAGAUAAGGAGCUUGCUCCUUUGACGUUAGCGGCGGACGGGUGAGUAACACGUGGGUAACCUACCUAUAAGACUGGGAUAACUUCGGGAAACCGGGGCUAAUACCGGAUAACAUUUGGAACCGCAUGGUUCUAAAGUGAAAGAUGGUUUUGCUAUCACUUAUAGAUGGACCCGCGCCGUAUUAGCUAGUUGGUAAGGUAACGGCUUACCAAGGCAACGAUACGUAGCCGACCUGAGAGGGUGAUCGGCCACACUGGAACUGAGACACGGUCCAGACUCCUACGGGAGGCAGCAGUAGGGAAUCUUCCGCAAUGGGCGAAAGCCUGACGGAGCAACGCCGCGUGAGUGAUGAAGGGUUUCGGCUCGUAAAACUCUGUUAUUAGGGAAGAACAAACGUGUAAGUAACUGUGCACGUCUUGACGGUACCUAAUCAGAAAGCCACGGCUAACUACGUG
This 497-nucleotide ribosomal RNA is filed under the name uncultured bacterium. RNAcentral describes it as "partial 16S ribosomal RNA". It matches the Rfam family "Bacterial small subunit ribosomal RNA", at positions 28 to 507 of the family's 1533-position model. The record is from RNAcentral.